CCCUUAGAUGCUCUGGGCCGCACGCGCGCUACACUGGUCGAUGCAACGAGUUUCUUUCCUUGGCCGACAGGCCUGGGCAAUCUUUGAACAUCGAUCGUGAUCGGGAUAGAUUCUUGUAGUUUUUGAUCUUAAACGAGGAAUUCCUAGUAAACGCAAGUCAUCAGCUUGCAUUGAUUACGUCCCUGCCCUUUGUACACACCGCCCGUCGCACCUACCGAUUGAAUGGUCCGGUGAAAUCUCCGGACUGGCGUGAGUCGGAGCAAUCUGACAAACGCCGGAAAGUUGAUUAAACCUUACCAUUUAGAGGAAGGUGAAGUCGUAACA
This 324-nucleotide ribosomal RNA is filed under the name uncultured eukaryote. Its description in RNAcentral is "partial 18S ribosomal RNA". It matches the Rfam family "Eukaryotic small subunit ribosomal RNA", at positions 1470 to 1796 of the family's 1831-position model. The record is from RNAcentral.